AAUAGAUACCCAGGUAGUCCACGCCGUAAACGGUGGGCACUAGGUGUGGGCGACAUUCCACGUCGUCCGUGCCGCAGCUAACGCAUUAAGUGCCCCGCCUGGGGAGUACGGCCGCAAGGCUAAAACUCAAAGGAAUUGACGGGGGGCCCGCACAAGCGGCGGAGCAUGUGGCUUAAUUCGACGCAACGCGAAGAACCUUACCAAGGCUUGACAUACACCGGAAACGUCCAGAGAUGGGCGCCCCCUUGUGGUCGGUGUACAGGUGGUGCAUGGCUGUCGUCAACUCGUGUCGUGAGAUGUUGGGUUAAGUCCCGCAACGAGCGCAACCCUUGUCCCGUGUUGCCAGCAGGCCCUUGUGGUGCUGGGGACUCACGGGAGACCGCCGGGGUCAACUCGGAGAAGGUGGGGACGACGUCAAGUCAUCAUGCCCCUUAUGUCUUGGGCUGCACACGUGCUACAAUGGCCGGUACAAUGAGCUGCGAUACCGCGAGGUGGAGCGAACCUCAAAAAAGCCGGUCUCAGUUCGGAUUGGGGUCUGCAACUCCG
This 546-nucleotide ribosomal RNA is filed under the name uncultured bacterium. RNAcentral describes it as "bacterial SSU rRNA". It matches the Rfam family "Bacterial small subunit ribosomal RNA", at positions 777 to 1314 of the family's 1533-position model. The record is from RNAcentral.